GAGUUUGAUCGUGGCUCAGGAUGAACGCUAGCGGCAGGCUUAACACAUGCAAGUCGAGGGGUAGAGUAGCAAUACUUGAGACCGGCGCACGGGUGCGUAACGCGUAUGCAACCUACCUUUUACAGAGGGAUAGCCCAGAGAAAUUUGGAUUAAUACCUCAUAGUAUAUGUCUUUCGCAUGUUAGACAUAUUAAAGUUCCAACGGUAAAGAUGGCAUGCGUCCUAUUAGCUAGAUGGUAAGGUAACGGCUUACCAUGGCAACGAUAGGUAGGGGUCCUGAGAGGGAGAUCCCCCACACUGGUACUGAGACACGGACCAGACUCCUACGGGAGGCAGCAGUGAGGAAUAUUGGACAAUGGGCGCAAGCCUGAUCCAGCCAUGCCGCGUGCAGGAAGACGGUCCUAUGGAUUGUAAACUGCUUUUUGUACGGGAAGAAACACUACCUCGUGAGGGAGCUUGACGGUACCGUAAGAAUAAGGAUCGGCUAAACUCCGUGCCAGCCG
This 502-nucleotide ribosomal RNA is filed under the name uncultured Flavobacterium sp. Its description in RNAcentral is "bacterial SSU rRNA". It matches the Rfam family "Bacterial small subunit ribosomal RNA", at positions 9 to 514 of the family's 1533-position model. Lineage: Bacteria; Pseudomonadati; Bacteroidota; Flavobacteriia; Flavobacteriales; Flavobacteriaceae. The record is from RNAcentral.